This 465-nucleotide ribosomal RNA is filed under the name Vreelandella stevensii. RNAcentral describes it as "partial 16S ribosomal RNA". It matches the Rfam family "Bacterial small subunit ribosomal RNA", at positions 338 to 795 of the family's 1533-position model. The record is from RNAcentral. Lineage: Bacteria; Pseudomonadati; Pseudomonadota; Gammaproteobacteria; Oceanospirillales; Halomonadaceae.
CCUACGGGUGGCAGCAGUGGGGAAUAUUGGACAAUGGGCGAAAGCCUGAUCCAGCCAUGCCGCGUGUGUGAAGAAGGCCUUCGGGUUGUAAAGCACUUUCAGUGGGGAAGAAAGCCUUGGGGCUAAUACCCUCGAGGAAGGACAUCACCCACAGAAGAAGCACCGGCUAACUCCGUGCCAGCAGCCGCGGUAAUACGGAGGGUGCGAGCGUUAAUCGGAAUUACUGGGCGUAAAGCGCGCGUAGGCGGUCUGAUAAGCCGGUUGUGAAAGCCCCGGGCUCAACCUGGGAACGGCAUCCGGAACUGUCAGGCUAGAGUGCAGGAGAGGAAGGUAGAAUUCCCGGUGUAGCGGUGAAAUGCGUAGAGAUCGGGAGGAAUACCAGUGGCGAAGGCGGCCUUCUGGACUGACACUGACGCUGAGGUGCGAAAGCGUGGGUAGCAAACAGGAUUAGAUACCACGGUAGUC